GACGAACGCUGGCGGCGUGCCUAAUACAUGCAAGUUGAGCGCUGAAGGUUGGUACUUGUACCAACUGGAUGAGCAUCGAACGGGUGAGUAACGCGUGGGGAAUCCGCCUUUUAGCGGGGGACAACAUUUGGAAACGAAUGUUAAUAUCGCAUAAAAACUUUAAACACAAGUUCUAAGUUUGAAAAAAGCAAUUGCAUCACUCAAAGAUGAUCCCGCGUUGUAUUAGCUAGUUGGGGGGGUAAAGGCUCACCAAGGCGAUGAUACAUGGCCGACCUGAGAGGGUGAUCGGCCAAAUUGGGACUGAGACACGGCCCGAACUCCUACGGGAGGCGGAAGUAGGGAAUCUUCGGCAAUGAACGAAAGUCUGACGGAGAAACGCCGCGUGAGUGAAGAAGGUUUUCGGAUCGAAAACCUCUGUUGGUAGAGAAGAACGUUGGUGAGAGUGGAAAGCUAAUCAAGGGACGGAAACGACCCAGAAGGGGACGGUUAACUACGU
RNAcentral lists this ribosomal RNA (496 nucleotides) under uncultured bacterium. Its description in RNAcentral is "partial 16S ribosomal RNA". It matches the Rfam family "Bacterial small subunit ribosomal RNA", at positions 28 to 506 of the family's 1533-position model. The record is from RNAcentral.